Molecule: ribosomal RNA, 492 nt
Filed under: uncultured bacterium
Lineage: Bacteria
Description: partial 16S ribosomal RNA
Rfam family: Bacterial small subunit ribosomal RNA
Source: RNAcentral
AGUGAACGCUGGCGGUAGGCCUAACACAUGCAAGUCGAACGGCAGCACAGUAAAAGCUUGCUCUUACGGGUGGCGAGUGGCGGACGGGUGAGGCAUACAUCGGAAUCUACUUUUUCGUGGGGGAUAACGUAGGGAAACUUACGCUAAUACCGCAUACGACCUACGGGUGAAAGCAGGGGAUCUUCGUACCUUGCGCGAUUGAAUGAGCCGAUGUCGGAUUAGCUAGUUGGCGGGGUAAAGGCCGACCAAGGCGACGAUCCGUAGCCAGUCUGAGAGGAUGAUCAGCCACACUGGAACUGGGACACGGUCCAGACUCCUACGGGAGGCAGCAGUGGGGAAUAUUGGACAAUGGGCGCAAUCCUGAUCCAGCCAUACCGCGUGGGUAAAGAAGGCCUUCGGGUUUUAAAGCCCUUUUGUUGGGAAAGAAAAUCAGCAGGUUAAUACCCCGCUGUUCUGACGGUACCCAAAGAAUAAGCACCGGCUAACUUCGUG